Molecule: ribosomal RNA, 503 nt
Filed under: Pseudomonas sp.
Lineage: Bacteria; Pseudomonadati; Pseudomonadota; Gammaproteobacteria; Pseudomonadales; Pseudomonadaceae
Description: bacterial SSU rRNA
Rfam family: Bacterial small subunit ribosomal RNA
Source: RNAcentral
AUGCAGUCGAGCGGAUGAAGGAGCUUGCUCCUGGAUUCAGCGGCGGACGGGUGAGUAAUGCCUAGGAAUCUGCCUGGUAGUGGGGGACAACGUUUCGAAAGGAACGCUAAUACCGCAUACGUCCUACGGGAGAAAGCAGGGGACCUUCGGGCCUUGCGCUAUCAGAUGAGCCUAGGUCGGAUUAGCUAGUUGGUGAGGUAAUGGCUCACCAAGGCGACGAUCCGUAACUGGUCUGAGAGGAUGAUCAGUCACACUGGAACUGAGACACGGUCCAGACUCCUACGGGAGGCAGCAGUGGGGAAUAUUGGACAAUGGGCGAAAGCCUGAUCCAGCCAUGCCGCGUGUGUGAAGAAGGUCUUCGGAUUGUAAAGCACUUUAAGUUGGGAGGAAGGGUUGUAGAUUAAUACUCUGCAAUUUUGACGUUACCGACAGAAUAAGCACCGGCUAACUCUGUGCCAGCAGCCGCGGUAAUACAGAGGGUGCAAGCGUUAAUCGGAAUUACU